AGUUGUGGUGGUUUUCUUUCUGGCACAUUUGUUAAGUUUUCAAAUGGGCCUGAUUCUGCCACAUAUAAUAUAUAGGAGCUGACAAAGGCUUCAAGACAAAGAGAUCUCUUGCUAGCCUUCCUGCACCAGAGUUUGGCUCCCAUAUGU
Molecule: small nucleolar RNA, 147 nt
Organism: Choloepus hoffmanni (Hoffmann's two-fingered sloth)
Lineage: Eukaryota; Metazoa; Chordata; Mammalia; Pilosa; Megalonychidae
Source: Ensembl